RNAcentral lists this ribosomal RNA (466 nucleotides) under uncultured bacterium. RNAcentral's name for it is "bacterial SSU rRNA". It matches the Rfam family "Bacterial small subunit ribosomal RNA", at positions 328 to 792 of the family's 1533-position model. The record is from RNAcentral.
UGGCCAGACUCCUACGGGAGGCAGCAGUGAGGAAUAUUGGUCAAUGGCCGGAAGGCUGAACCAGCCAAGUCGCGUGAGGGAGGACGGCCCUACGGGUUGUAAACCUCUUUUGUCGGGGAGCAAAGCGAGUCACGUGUGACUCAUUGAGAGUACCCGAAGAAAAAGCAUCGGCUAACUCCGUGCCAGCAGCCGCGGUAAUACGGAGGAUGCGAGCGUUAUCCGGAUUUAUUGGGUUUAAAGGGUGCGCAGGCGGAGGUGCAAGUCAGCGGUCAAAUUGCGGGGCUCAACUCCAUCCAGCCGUUGAAGCUGAUGAUCUUGAGUGGGCGAGAAGUAUGCGGAAUGCGUGGUGUAGCGGUGAAAUGCAUAGAUAUCGCGCAGAACUCCGAUUGCGAAGGCAGCAUGCCGGCUCCACACUGACGCUGAGGCACGAAAGCGUGGGUAUCGAACAGGAUUAGAUACCCCAGUA